Molecule: long non-coding RNA, 3251 nt
Organism: Astatotilapia calliptera (eastern happy)
Lineage: Eukaryota; Metazoa; Chordata; Actinopteri; Cichliformes; Cichlidae
Source: Ensembl
AUAUUUUUAUUUUUUUAAGUGCUGGGGGGAAAUAUACGCACUUAACAUGUUUAUUGAGCAUUUAUCUUAACAAAAAACUGUAAACAUUUAUCCACUCUCUCUCUGUCAUUCUUGAGAUGAGGAACCAAAGCUAUGUAAAACGCAUGUUCUCAAUGAUAUUAAUAGGUCUGCAGUUUGUUGCAAUCUACUUGGCAAUUGUGUCUGUUAGGUUUGUAGCUUGAACCUAUUCGCUGGAACGUUAAGACAAUACAAUUACACUGCAAGCAAGACGCAAGUAGGCAAACUUCUUCAUGGUACUCGUGCACGGGAGAGACUGGACAGAGCGCCGUCCCUUCGCUUGACCCCAGUAGCUCUCGUCCGUCCUCCCAUACACUAUCCUUUUAUUGAGGUUACAUGAAUAUGCAUAGGUUCAUUAACAUAUAACACACGGUAUGACCUCUCAUGCUCCCAAAGUGCUGUCUAAUACACACAAAGUUUGCAGACUAUCAAGGAUCAAAACCUCUACCAAUCUACAACUAAUUACAAAACUCUAAGCAUAUAUAAGUAAAUAUUUCUAAGCAUAAAUGACAAUCAACAAUACAAAACUAACAGUGUCAGUCAUUAUUUCCGAGGUAGACUUACUGAGCCCCCUGAUGCUCCGUGAGUGAUUUGUCGCAAGCUGGGUGACGCAUUAGCCAAAAUCUUAGCAGCAUGCCCGGCUAACAUAUGCUUCACAUCAAUGUGAUAUUUUAAGCUCGGUGAAAAGAAAAUUCCUUCUUGCACAAUGUGCAUAAUACUUUGCCGGUCAACUCUUGUUAUUAUUUUAAUACUCAAAUUUCCCAUCAAGAGGGCCAAUGUGCAUUUAUCAUCUUCCAAAUUGAGUUGAUUGGUUCAGCUACCUGUCACUACUAGAUCUACUGCCCAUUUGCGCAUGUGCGAAGGUAACUCUACUUGGACAAACUGCCCGAAAUGCAUUGACAGAAACAUUUCAGGGAUUUUGAGUCCUUCUGCACUACAGAUCCAUUAAUAGCGUUAAUUUUUUUAAAUCACGUUAAUCUGUCUGUGACACUCUUUCGAGGAUGCCAAUGUUCACAUUUUGGACAGAGAGGACAGAUGGUUUGAAAGAGGAGUGAAAGAAGCCAUCUAUGUCCACUGUGAGCGACCAUCUUUGAACAGAGGCGGUGGUUUACGACACCAACUCUCUGCCAUCUAUAAUCCAGUUUUGAGAUCCCUUCCCAGACACCUUAACGCCCACUCACAUCCUGGGCCAUCUGAUCUCAGGAAUUCGCAUGAUAAGGUGGGGCCAGGUUUCACAAUGAACUCACCCGAAACUCUGGCUGAUUGGGACCCACACCCAGUUUCACACCUUGGCUCUGGCGAUUAGAGGAUCAUCAGGGGGUCCUUUUGUCCCUCUGUGGGGGGAUACUCUCACUAGGUUUAUAUCUGGGACUCUCCACCAUUUGACCUUAGAACUGAAGAAGCUUCUCGGAUGAGAGGUGAAACGUCUUCAAGUAACUUAAAGAAGUCCAGACGCUUUUCUUUGCAAGCUCCUUUGACAAUCACGUUAAUCGUGAUGACUGCUUAAUCUGCGUUAACGCAUUCAUUUUGACAGCACUAAUUCAAACACCUGUAUGCUUCAGUGCUUUGGAAUGCUCAUGCUCCGAUGGAUGUGUCAGAGAGCAACUCAGCUUUAGUAUCUCGUCAUGGGAUCGAGCCACCAAAUGUCCAAUCAGCUCUAGACAGUGGGCCAACUCUGGCCCCCGGGCCUCAUGUUUGACACCUCUGAUACAAAAUAAAACCAAAGUCAUUAAAGGCAAACCUGCACACGUGUGUAUGCAGUUCUUUCUUAGAGCGAUCAACAAGCAACCUAAUGAGUUACCAUGGAAACAGAGUUCUCAGGUAUGUGUUUACAGACAGGUGAUUGGCCUGAUUCCGGGGUUUGGACAUAACCUGUGAUCUGAGUGGAAGCAGGUUCGGGCCAAACUGACUACGUUUAAAGAGUAGAUCUCAGGUAUGUGUUUACAGACAGGUGAUUGGCCUGAUCAACAGGAGCAUCAGCCGAAAAGCUCCACCUUCCUGUUAAUUCUGACUCUGGUUAAUUGCUCCAUGGGUGCUGCUGUUCUUAUUCAGGUCAGCUUCAAUGAUUCAUUUCCCCUGGGUGCUGUCUGACAGGCUGCUUAAACAUUAAUGAGGCUGAGCAUUUGCCUUCCAGGAGCUCGGCCAAUCAAAGCGUCUCAGAGGCAGAAGUGCAACAACAGACCCAAUCACAGCAGAGCAGGAAUGAGGUCAGACUUCCUGCUGCUCCCUCUACAAUGGCGUGAUGAACCUGGAGCUCGAGCCUGCCUCUGGCAUCACAUCUGUUUAUUCACGUCACAAAGUUUGAGUUUACUGGACGUUUACAAAUAAAAAGCUGAAUCACCUGCGGACUGCACGUAGGUGCGUCUCAGGUGAGCCUCACUCUAAUAGUCCUUUUUUUUCCCCUCUCAACUCUUGUCUGGCAGGAGCAGCUGCUCGCACACCUGCUGAAUUUUCUUGGGACUUCUUCUUUUCUGCAGUCUCGCACUCUCUGCGGCUUCCUGUUUCCACUCAAACGCCUCCAUGCACAUGCACAGUGUUAACCACAGACGCAUGCUGCUCUGAAGCAGUCGACUUCCUGUGUGUUCACCUCUUGAUGAACCCUCUCUCGUGCUUUUUGUUGAGUUCUUCAUAGAAUUAUCUUUGUGAUCACUGAUGUAAGGCACAUCCAACUUGCCAUCCACUCUCACCUUAUCUGUGACCCUGAAAAGUCUCAAUGUGACAGAAAAUAAAGUUCCUGAAUAUUAAAACUACAAAAUAAACUUCACUGUCACCAGCCAUCAGAUUAAACAGGAAGUGAUUCCAUUUUAUUUUUAGUUAGUUUGUGGGUGAUCGCAGCCAAUCAGUGAAGAGGUGAUGAUGAUGAGACGAUUCCAUCCCAUAAUUCAUAGUAGCACUCCAUCAGAUUAAAAAAGAAAAAACUAUCAGCAACUCAGAUUUGUUGAUAAAUGCCUGACGCACCUGAAGCUUAUAAUUCUGUUUAUCUGAGCUUCUUUUUGGACACAAUACUGUUCACUCUCUUAGUUGUCAGAGGUCAGGGUGGGUGGAGCCUUCAGUGGGACUCACAGCUUUCUGUUUUUAUUAUCUUUAUUCAUUUCUAAUGUGGUUCUGUUAAUGUUAAUGUGUUUUAAUGUUGCGCUCUGUAAACUUUUUCUAGCGUGGACGCUGACAUGUGUUCUGUAUAAAUAAAGUUGUUC